GGUUCGGUGGUCUAGGGGUAUGAUUCUCGCUUAGGGUGCGAGAGGUCCCGAGUUCAAAUCCCGGCCGAACCC
Molecule: transfer RNA, 72 nt
Filed under: Trichonephila clavata
Lineage: Eukaryota; Metazoa; Arthropoda; Arachnida; Araneae; Nephilidae
Rfam family: tRNA
About the family: Transfer RNA (tRNA) molecules are approximately 80 nucleotides in length. Their secondary structure includes four short double-helical elements and three loops (D, anti-codon, and T loops).
Source: Rfam by way of RNAcentral